This 392-nucleotide ribosomal RNA is filed under the name uncultured bacterium. RNAcentral's name for it is "partial 16S ribosomal RNA". It matches the Rfam family "Bacterial small subunit ribosomal RNA", at positions 523 to 918 of the family's 1533-position model. The record is from RNAcentral.
AUACGUAUGUCGCAAGCGUUAUCCGGAUUUAUUGGGCGUAAAGCGCGUCUAGGCGGCUUAGUAAGUCUGAUGUGAAAAUGCGGGGCUCAACCCCGUAUUGCGUUGGAAACUGCUAAACUAGAGUACUGGAGAGGUAGGCGGAACUACAAGUGUAGAGGUGAAAUUCGUAGAUAUUUGUAGGAAUGCCGAUGGGGAAGCCAGCCUACUGGAAAUAUACUGACGCUAAAGCGCGAAAGCGUGGGUAGAAAACAGGAUUAGAUACCCUGGUAGUCCACGCCGUAAACGAUGAUUACUAGGUGUUGGGGGUCGAACCUCAGCGCCCAAGCUAACGCGAUAAGUAAUCCGCCUGGGGAGUACGUACGCAAGUAUGAAACUCAAAUGAAUUGACGGGG